UCAACAUCGCGCGGGAGCUCGCGCCACAGCGGGCUGAGAGGGCAAAUGGCGUCCACAUGGACCCGGCUUUGCCGACCGCCUGAACCUGACCGGGUAAUGCCGGCGUAGGGAGGCUGUUCAUGACCGCUC
RNAcentral lists this non-coding RNA (129 nucleotides) under Actinophytocola sp. Its description in RNAcentral is "TPP sequence". It matches the Rfam family "TPP riboswitch aptamer (THI element)". Rfam says of the family: Vitamin B(1) in its active form thiamin pyrophosphate (TPP) is an essential coenzyme that is synthesised by coupling of pyrimidine and thiazole moieties in bacteria. The previously detected thiamin-regulatory element, thi box was extended, resulting in a new, highly conserved RNA secondary structure, the THI element, which is widely distributed in eubacteria and also occurs in some archaea. Analysis of operon structures identified a large number of new candidate thiamin-regulated genes, mostly transporters, in various prokaryotic organisms. RNAcentral also lists the same sequence under 1 other name. Lineage: Bacteria; Bacillati; Actinomycetota; Actinomycetes; Pseudonocardiales; Pseudonocardiaceae. The record is from RNAcentral.